Ostrinia nubilalis (European corn borer) is the source of this 793-nucleotide long non-coding RNA. RefSeq lists it as uncharacterized. The record is from RefSeq and is a predicted model, not a curated record. Lineage: Eukaryota; Metazoa; Arthropoda; Insecta; Lepidoptera; Crambidae. The transcript is spliced from 2 exons.
UACUUAACGCUUACAUAAUAAGUAUACGACUGGUACAGAUAAUAGAUAUAAUAUAAGAUCAAAAGACACUGUAACAUGUAUAUUAUGAAUUUAGUAGUGACAUUCCCAUUUUUUAAAUACAUUUGUAAGUGUUAAUUUCCUCUGAAUUUAGUUUAUACUUUGUUAUGACAAGUGACAACCAAAGUAAAAAACAAUUUUGUAUUUAAUUAAUUUAAGUAAAUAAUGUAACAUUGUUGUAUAAAAACAAUUUGAAAAAUAUUGUCAGACAGUUCAAAUAUUAUUUAACGAAAAAGUAACAUCCAGAUAGUUGUCCUAUUAUAGUCCAAUGUUGUAAAGAAGAAUAUAAUUAUAGAAGAAAUAAUAAAUACAAAAACACCAUGACCAUAAUUUUUUACAUUUUAAAUUAUUUGUGUAAUGUUACAUACAGAAUGGGUUAUGUACCUACUCGUAUAAGUAGUUAAUUGUUUUCUAAUUUUGACAACCUGAAUAGAAAUAACAUUAAAUAACAAUGUUUUUACACUAGAUUACAUUUAAAUUUGCGACAAUUUGUAAUAAUGUCUAUUAUGUUUCUUAUAAUGUAAUUGUAUCUAUCAAUGUAAAAAUGAGUAAAAUUAAUUGAUAAGGAUUAUAACAAUGAAACGACCAACUAACUGCACUGUAAAAAAAAAUAUAUUUUGUAUAUGAACAUUACAAUACAUUGUUAUUAUGUAGGUAUUUAUUAAUAAUAAUAGUUAUUGUUGUAAAACGGGAAUAUGAAAGUUGUUGCACAAUAUAAUAUUGCAUAUUUUUAAUA